RNAcentral lists this ribosomal RNA (253 nucleotides) under uncultured bacterium. RNAcentral's name for it is "partial 16S ribosomal RNA". It matches the Rfam family "Bacterial small subunit ribosomal RNA", at positions 524 to 776 of the family's 1533-position model. The record is from RNAcentral.
UACGUAGGGGGCAAGCGUUAUCCGGAUUUACUGGGUGUAAAGGGAGCGUAGACGGCUAGGUAAGUCUGAUGUGAAAGCCCGGGGCUCAACCCCGGGUCUGCAUUGGAAACUAUCUAGCUAGAGUGCAGGAGAGGUAAGUGGAAUUCCUAGUGUAGCGGUGAAAUGCGUAGAUAUUAGGAGGAACACCAGUGGCGAAGGCGGCUUACUGGACUGUAACUGACGUUGAGGCUCGAAAGCGUGGGGAGCAAACAGG